AUGCUUGCUUCGGCAGCACAUAUACUAAAUUUGCAACGAUACAGAGAAGAUUAGCGUGGCCCCUGUGCAAGGAUGACACACAAAUUCAUGAAGCAUUCCAUUAAAAA
Molecule: small nuclear RNA, 107 nt
Organism: Nomascus leucogenys (northern white-cheeked gibbon)
Lineage: Eukaryota; Metazoa; Chordata; Mammalia; Primates; Hylobatidae
Source: Ensembl